CAGCGAUAUGCAAAGGAUCGAAGCCUGAUCUAUUCUUCCUUGCAAUGCACUCUCUACUUGAAUAUUUUAACAACUCCUUUACCACCUCAAGAUGCCCUUUAUCUGCAGCAGUAAACAGUGCUGUCUCCCCCAACUCAUUCACCUCAUUCACUACUGAUGCCCUUAUUUCAGCAACCUCUGUAUCAAAAUCCUCCCCACUCAAAGUCCCCACCAGUUGUGAAUCAAUAUCAUUAAGAAUCUGCUUUACAGCUGCCAAAUCACC
This 262-nucleotide unclassified non-coding RNA is filed under the name Hevea brasiliensis (rubber tree). Lineage: Eukaryota; Viridiplantae; Streptophyta; Magnoliopsida; Malpighiales; Euphorbiaceae. The record is from RNAcentral.